RNAcentral lists this ribosomal RNA (253 nucleotides) under uncultured bacterium. Its description in RNAcentral is "partial 16S ribosomal RNA". It matches the Rfam family "Bacterial small subunit ribosomal RNA", at positions 524 to 776 of the family's 1533-position model. The record is from RNAcentral.
UACGGAGGGUGCGAGCGUUGUCCGGAAUCACUGGGCGUAAAGGGCGCGUAGGUGGCCCGACAAGUCAACGGUGAAAGCUCGGCGCUCAACGCCGAGUCGGCCGUCGAUACUGUGGGGCUGGAGCACUGUAGAGGCAGAUGGAAUUCCGGGUGUAGCGGUGGAAUGCGUAGAGAUCCGGAAGAACACCGGUGGCGAAGGCGGUCUGCUGGGCAGUAGCUGGCACUGAGGCGCGACAGCGUGGGGAGCAAACAGG